AUGUCUCCUACAAUUAAUGCGCUGAUGGGAGACGGCCUUUGGAGGUUUUGCUGAUUCAAAAAUUAUUUAAUGCCCUAGAUAAGAUCAUGCGUAGGCUCUGUAAUGUUUCAGAUUGUUCUUCUCCUUUUUUGGCAUAGGUGUUUCUUUCUUCCACCAUCCUCUGUGUUUUGAGAGAAAUGACCUUCAGAGAUUCUGCCUUCGCACCAUUAGGAUUUCGAUCCAAGCUAUCUAAGAGGGCAUAGUAGCACUUCAUAGAUAGUACCAAAUCUCUUUGGAGUUUCAGUUAAAAGUUUCGGAUCUAGACGACCGAGUUUGCCAACCACC
Molecule: long non-coding RNA, 324 nt
Filed under: Elaeis guineensis (African oil palm)
Lineage: Eukaryota; Viridiplantae; Streptophyta; Magnoliopsida; Arecales; Arecaceae
Description: long non-coding RNA (EGUI_LNC042283)
Source: RNAcentral